RNAcentral lists this non-coding RNA (101 nucleotides) under human gut metagenome. Its description in RNAcentral is "THF riboswitch". It matches the Rfam family "THF (Tetrahydrofolate) riboswitch aptamer". Rfam says of the family: THF riboswitch presents a pseudoknot that joins P1-P2 and the loop of P3 and two THF binding. The record is from RNAcentral.
GCAGAGUAAACAUUUGUGCGUUAAGUGUCAGAUGAACGGGGAGUUGUCACUGAACGAAAAACUUAAGUUAAGUUUGCGGUACAAAUGUUGCAUCCCGCUGC